CCUACGGGAGGCAGCAGUGAGGAAUAUUGGUCAAUGGCCGGAAGGCUGAACCAGCCAUGCCGCGUGAAGGGCAGGGACCUACGGGCGUUAAACUUCUUUUGUGCGGGAGCAAUAAUGGUCACGUGUGGCCAGACGAGAGUACCGUACGAAUAAGCAUCGGCUAACUCCGUGGCAGCAGCUGCGGUAAUACGGGGGAUGCAAGCGUUAUCCGGAUUUAUUGGGGUUAAAGGGUGCGUAAGCUGUGAGGUAAGUCAGCGGGGAAAUGCCCCCGCUCAACGGGGUGAAGUGCCAUUGAUACUGCCUUGCUGGAGUGCGGGUGCGGUGGGAGGAAUGUGUGGUGUAGCGGUGAAAUGCAUAGAUAUCACACAGAACACCGAUUGCGAAGGCAUCUCACGAAUCCGCGAUUGACGCUGAUGCACGAAAGCGUGGGUAUCAAACAGGAUUAGAUACCCUUGUAGUC
RNAcentral lists this ribosomal RNA (460 nucleotides) under uncultured bacterium. RNAcentral's name for it is "partial 16S ribosomal RNA". It matches the Rfam family "Bacterial small subunit ribosomal RNA", at positions 338 to 795 of the family's 1533-position model. The record is from RNAcentral.